UAUUAAUUACCUCUGUCCUAAAAAGCUUGUCUUGAAUUUAUCUAGAUACGGAUGUAUCUAACUCAAAAACGCAUCUAGAUAUAUCCGUAUCUAGACAAAUCUAAGGCAAACUUUUUGAGACGGAGGGAGUAUACA
This is a non-coding RNA of Triticum aestivum (bread wheat), 135 nucleotides long. The record is from Rfam. NCBI's taxonomy places the organism in Eukaryota, Viridiplantae, Streptophyta, Magnoliopsida, Poales, Poaceae.